Molecule: ribosomal RNA, 389 nt
Filed under: Gammaproteobacteria bacterium
Lineage: Bacteria; Pseudomonadati; Pseudomonadota; Gammaproteobacteria
Description: bacterial SSU rRNA
Rfam family: Bacterial small subunit ribosomal RNA
Source: RNAcentral
AAACUGAAGAGUUUGAUCCUGGCUCAGAUUGAACGCUGGCGGCAUGCCUAACACAUGCAAGUCGAACGGUAACGCGGAGAGCUUGCUCUCUGGCGACGAGUGGCGGACGGGUGAGUAAUACUUAGGAAUCUGCCCAGUAGUGGGGGACAACAUUCGGAAACGGAUGCUAAUACCGCAUACGCCCUACGGGGGAAAGCGGGGGAUCUUCGGACCUCGCGCUAUUGGAUGAGCCUAAGUCGGAUUAGCUUGUUGGUGAGGUAAAGGCUCACCAAGGCGACGAUCCGUAGCUGGUCUGAGAGGACGAUCAGCCACACUGGGACUGAGACACGGCCCAGACUCCUACGGGAGGCAGCAGUGGGGAAUAUUGGACAAUGGGCGCAAGCCUGAUC